AUUGAACGCUGGCGGCAUGCCUUACACAUGCAAGUCGAGCGGCAGCGCGGGGGCAACCCUGGCGGCGAGCGGCGAACGGGUGAGUAAUACAUCGGAACGUGUCCAGUAGUGGGGGAUAACCUGUCGAAAGAUAGGCUAAUACCGCAUACGAUCUACGGAUGAAAGCGGGGGACCGCAAGGCCCCGCGCUAUUGGGGCGGCCGAUGUCGGAUUAGCUAGUUGGCGGGGUAAAAGCCCACCAAGGCGACGAUCCGUAGCUGGUCUGAGAGGACGACCAGCCACACUGGAACUGAGACACGGUCCAGACUCCUACGGGAGGCAGCAGUGGGGAAUUUUGGACAAUAGGGGCAACCCUGAUCCAGCCAUGCCGCGUGAGUGAAGAAGGCCUUCGGGUUGUAAAGCUCUUUCGGCGGGGACGAAACGGUUCGUGCCAACACCACGGACUAAUGACGGUACUCGCAGAAGAAGCACCGGCUAACUACGUGCCAGCCGCCGCAGUAA
This 500-nucleotide ribosomal RNA is filed under the name uncultured bacterium. Its description in RNAcentral is "partial 16S ribosomal RNA". It matches the Rfam family "Bacterial small subunit ribosomal RNA", at positions 29 to 523 of the family's 1533-position model. The record is from RNAcentral.